GCGAUGUUUCAUUCAAAUUUCCUGCCCUUAUCAACUUUCGACGGUAGGGUAGUGGCCUACCGUGGUGGUAACGGGUAACGGAGGAUUAGGGUUCGAUUCCGGAGAGGGAGCCUGAGAAACGGCUACCACAUCCAAGGAAGGCAGCAGGCGCGCAAAUUACCCAAAUCCCAACUCGGGGAGGUAGUGACAAGAAAUAACGAUGCUCCGGCCAUCGGUCGGGUAAUCGGAAUGAGGACAAUUUAAAUCCCUUAUCGAGGAUCAAUUGGAGGGCAAGUCUGGUGCCAGCAGCCGCGGUAAUUCCAGCUCCAAUAGCGUAUAUUUAAGUUGCUGCGGUUAAAAAGCUCGUAGUCGGAUUUCGGGUGGUGCCUACCGGUCCGCCUUUGGUGUGUACUGGUAGGCGCCACCUUUCUGCCGAGGACGGGUUCCUGGGCUUAACUGUCUGGGGCCCGGAGUCGGCGACGUCACUUUGAGUAAAUUAGGGUGUUUAAAGCAGGCUUAUGCUCUGUAUACACUAGCAUGGGAUGACACGAUAGGACUUCGGUCUAUCUUGUCGGUCUGUAGAUCGGAGUAAUGAUUAAGAGGGACAGUCGGGGGCAUUCGUAUUUCGUAGUCAGAGGUGAAAUUCUUGGAUUUACGGAAGACGAACUUCUGCGAAAGCAUUUGCCAAGGAUGUUUUCAUUGAUCAAGAACGAAAGUCGGGGGCUCGAAGACGAUUAGAUACCGUCGUAGUCUCGACCAUAAACGAUGCAA
RNAcentral lists this ribosomal RNA (750 nucleotides) under Trentepohliaceae sp. Kukwa 19610. RNAcentral's name for it is "SSU rRNA". It matches the Rfam family "Eukaryotic small subunit ribosomal RNA", at positions 287 to 1044 of the family's 1831-position model. Lineage: Eukaryota; Viridiplantae; Chlorophyta; Ulvophyceae; Trentepohliales; Trentepohliaceae. The record is from RNAcentral.